This 499-nucleotide ribosomal RNA is filed under the name uncultured bacterium. Its description in RNAcentral is "bacterial SSU rRNA". It matches the Rfam family "Bacterial small subunit ribosomal RNA", at positions 9 to 518 of the family's 1533-position model. The record is from RNAcentral.
GAGUUUGAUCCUGGCUCAGGACGAACGCUGGCUGCGUGCUUAACAUAUGCAAGUCGAACGCUGAAGCCUGGUGCUUGCACCGGGUGGAUGAGUGGCGAACGGGUGAGUAACACGUGAGUAACCUGCCCCUGACUUCGGGAUAAGCCCGGGAAACUGGGUCUAAUACCGGAUACGACUGCCGGACGCAUGUCUGGUGGUGGAAAGUUUUUUCGGUUGGGGAUGGGCUCGCGGCCUAUCAGUUUGUUGGUGAGGUAAUGGCUCACCAAGACGACGACGGGUAGCCGGCCUGAGAGGGCGACCGGCCACACUGGGACUGAGACACGGCCCAGACUCCUACGGGAGGCAGCAGUGGGGAAUAUUGCACAAUGGGGGGAAACCCUGAUGCAGCGACGCAGCGUGCGGGAUGACGGCCUCGGUUGUAACGCUUCUAGCAGGAGAAGACGCAAGUGACGGUACCGUGCAGAAGAAGUACCGGCGUAACUACGUAGCCAGCCGCCGC